AUUGCCCUAGUAACGGCGAGUGAAGCGGCAACAGCUCAAAUUUGAAAUCUGCCUUCGGGCCGAGUUGUAAUUUGUAGAGGAAGCUUUUGGUGAGGCACCUUCUGAGUCCCCUGGAACGGGGCGCCAUAGAGGGUGAGAGCCCCGUAUAGUCGGAUGCCGAUCCAAUGUAAAGCUCCUUCGACGAGUCGAGUAGUUUGGGAAUGCUGCUCAAAAUGGGAGGUAAAUUUCUUCUAAAGCUAAAUACCGGCCAGAGACCGAUAGCGCACAAGUAGAGUGAUCGAAAGAUGAAAAGCACCUUGAAAAGGGGGUUAAAUAGCACGUGAAAUUGUUGAAAGGGAAGCGUUUGCGGCCAGACUUGCGCCGCCCCGAUCAUCCGGUGUUCUCACCGGUGCACUCGGGGCGGCGCAGGCCAGCAUCGGUUUCGGCGGGGGGAUAAAGGUCCGGGGAACGUAGCUCCUCCGGGAGUGUUAUAGCCCCGGGCGUAAUGCCCUCGCCGGGACCGAGGUUCGCGCAUCUGCAAGGAUGCUGGCGUAAUGGCCGCCAACGACCCGUCUUGAAACACGGACCAAGGAGUCAAGGUUUUGCGCGAGUGUUUGGGUGUAAAACCCGCACGCGUAAUGAAAGUGAACGUAGGUGAGAGCUUCGGCGCAUCAUCGACCGAUCCUGAUGUAUUCGGAUGGAUUUGAGUAAGAGCGUUAAGCCUUGGACCCGAAAGAUGGUGAACUAUGCUUGGAUAGGGUGAAGCCAGAGGAAACUCUGGUGGAGGCUCGCAGCGGUUCUGACGUGCAAAUCGAUCGUCAAAUCUGAGCAUGGGGGCGAAAGACUA
This 826-nucleotide ribosomal RNA is filed under the name Neurospora reticulata. RNAcentral describes it as "eukaryotic LSU rRNA". It matches the Rfam family "Eukaryotic large subunit ribosomal RNA", at positions 74 to 933 of the family's 3401-position model. Lineage: Eukaryota; Fungi; Ascomycota; Sordariomycetes; Sordariales; Sordariaceae. The record is from RNAcentral.